AUUAACAAACAUUUUAGCUUACCAUUACUUCUAAAGUUUGGGAGAUCCUAUAUGGCAGUCAGCAGCUUGAUAUAUUUGCAAACAUCCAUGACAACCCCCAUAACUGCAAGUUACAUUAAUUUGAUAAAUGCUAUCAAACCCAACAAUGGUGCAGUUUGAAAGUAUUACGAAAGUUCAUGUGCCUAAUAGUAAUACACUAUUAUAAAUACAUAUGAGAAAUAGAGUCUAUAGAUUAUUCAUAGCUGCAGAAUGUUCCAAACCGAAGAAAAGUUUACUGAAAAAUGCUGAGAAAUAAGUUACCUCAUUUUCGCGACCUGCUACCACAGAAUAAGACUAGAUUAGGAAUAUUAAUUGCAUUCAAUAGUAUUUCAGUAUAUCAUACACAAAAUUAAAUAUUAUUUUCACUUGUAAACAAUUAAAAGCGAUUUGUUUAUGACCCCACAAUAUUUAUGAUGAAGAAAAAGUGGUGAAAUGCUAAUGCUGGGAG
Molecule: non-coding RNA, 487 nt
Organism: Paramuricea clavata
Lineage: Eukaryota; Metazoa; Cnidaria; Anthozoa; Malacalcyonacea; Plexauridae
Source: the annotation of a GenBank genome assembly